GACAGAGGGUGCAAACGUUGUUCGGAAUUACUGGGCGUAAAGCGCGUGUAGGCGGCUAUGUAAGUCGGGCGUGAAAUCCCACGGCUCAACCGUGGAAGUGCACCCGAAACUGCGUAGCUAGAGUCCUGGAGAGGAAGGUGGAAUGCUUGGUGUAGAGGUGAAAUUCGUAGAUAUCAGGCGGAACACCGGUGGCGAAGGCGGCCUUCUGGACAGUGACUGACGCUGAGACGCGAAAGCGUGGGGAGCAAACAGG
This 253-nucleotide ribosomal RNA is filed under the name uncultured bacterium. RNAcentral describes it as "partial 16S ribosomal RNA". It matches the Rfam family "Bacterial small subunit ribosomal RNA", at positions 524 to 776 of the family's 1533-position model. The record is from RNAcentral.